This 1189-nucleotide ribosomal RNA is filed under the name Haptophyta environmental samples. Its description in RNAcentral is "SSU rRNA". It matches the Rfam family "Eukaryotic small subunit ribosomal RNA", at positions 429 to 1663 of the family's 1831-position model. Lineage: Eukaryota; Haptophyta. The record is from RNAcentral.
AGCCCCGCGCGUAAAUUGCCCGAAUCCUGACACAGGGAGGUAGUGACAAGAAAUAACAAUACAGGGCUACUUCUAGUCUUGUAAUUGGAAUGAGUACAACUUACAUCUCUUCACGAGGAUCAAUUGGAGGGCAAGUCUGGUGCCAGCAGCCGCGGUAAUUCCAGCUCCAAAAGCGUAUAUUAAAGUUGUUGCAGUUAAAACGCUCGUAGUCGGGUUUCGGGUCGGGCCGAGCGGUCUGCCGAUGGGUAUGCACUGUUUGGCGCGGCCUUCUUUCCGGAGACCGCGGCUACUCUUAACUGAGCGGGCGUGGGAGACGGAUCGUUUACUUUGAAAAAAUCAGAGUGUUUCAAGCAGGCAGCUCGCUCUUGCAUGGUACAGCAUGGGAUGAUUGAAUAGGACUCCGGUGCUAUUUUGUUGGUUUCGAACACCAGGAGUAAUGAUUAACAGGGACAGUCAGGGGCACUCGUAUUCCGUCGAGAGAGGUGAAAUUCUCAGACCAAUGGAAGACGAACCACUGCGAAAGCAUUUGCCAGGGAUAUUUUCACUGAUCAAGAACGAAAGUUAGGGGAUCGAAGACGAUCAGAUACCGUCGUAGUCUUAACCAUAAACCAUGCCGACUAGGGAUUGGAGGGUGUUCGUUUCGACCUCUUCAGCACCUUACGGGAAACUAAAGUCUUUGGGUUCCGGGGGGAGUAUGGUCGCAAGGCUGAAACUUAAAGGAAUUGACGGAAGGGCACCACCAGGAGUGGAGCCUGCGGCUUAAUUUGACUCAACACGGGGAAACUUACCAGGUCCAGUCAUUGUUAGGAUUGACAGAUUGAGAGCUCUUUCUUGAUUCGAUGRGUGGUGGUGCAUGGCCGUUCUUAGUUGGUGGAGUGAUUUGUCUGGUUAAUUCCGAUAACGAACGAGACCGUAGCCUGCUAAAUAGUCCCGCGAACUUCUUGUUGGCGGCCGACUUCUUAGAGGGACAACUUGUGACCAACAAGUGGAAGUUUGCGGCAAUAACAGGUCUGUGAUGCCCUUAGAUGUUCUGGGCCGCACGCGCGCUACACUGAAGCACUCAACGAGUCCACCUCGACCGACAGGUCUGGGAGACCUUUUGAAAUUGCUUCGUGAUGGGGAUAGAUUAUUGCAACUAUUAAUCUUCAACGAGGAAUUCGUAGUAAGCGCAUGUCAUCAGCGUGCGUGA